This 329-nucleotide ribosomal RNA is filed under the name Shouchella rhizosphaerae. RNAcentral describes it as "bacterial SSU rRNA". It matches the Rfam family "Bacterial small subunit ribosomal RNA", at positions 1 to 318 of the family's 1533-position model. Lineage: Bacteria; Bacillati; Bacillota; Bacilli; Caryophanales; Bacillaceae. The record is from RNAcentral.
UUAACGGAGAGUUUGAUCCUGGCUCAGGACGAACGCUGGCGGCGUGCCUAAUACAUGCAAGUCGAGCGGAGUUUCAAGAAGCUUGCUUUUUGAAACUUAGCGGCGGACGGGUGAGUAACACGUGGGCAACCUGCCCCUUAGACUGGGAUAACUCCGGGAAACCGGAGCUAAUACCGGAUAAUCCCUUUUUCCACCUGGAGAGAGGGUGAAAGAUGGCUUCGGCUAUCACUAGGGGAUGGGCCCGCGGCGCAUUAGCUAGUUGGUAAGGUAACGGCUUACCAAGGCAACGAUGCGUAGCCGACCUGAGAGGGUGAUCGGCCACACUGGGA